AACGCGAAGAACCUUACCUGGGUUUGACAUGCACAGGACGGUCGUAGAGAUACGGCUUCCCUUGUGGCCUGUGUGCAGGUGGUGCAUGGCUGUCGUCAGCUCGUGUCGUGAGAUGUUGGGUUAAGUCCCGCAACGAGCGCAACCCUUGUCUCAUGUUGCCAGCGCGUUAUGGCGGGGACUCGUGAGAGACUGCCGGGGUCAACUCGGAGGAAGGUGGGGAUGACGUCAAGUCAUCAUGCCCCUUAUGUCCAGGGCUUCACACAUGCUACAAUGGCCGGUACAAAGGGCUGCUAAUCCGCGAGGAGGAGCCAAUCCCCAAAGCCGGUCUCAGUUCGGAUUGGAGUCUGCAACUCGACUCCAUGAAGUCGGAGUCGCUAGUAAUCCCGGAUCAGCAACGCCGGGGUGAAUACGUUCCCGGGCCUUGUACACACCGGUACUA
This 439-nucleotide ribosomal RNA is filed under the name uncultured bacterium. RNAcentral describes it as "bacterial SSU rRNA". It matches the Rfam family "Bacterial small subunit ribosomal RNA", at positions 958 to 1398 of the family's 1533-position model. The record is from RNAcentral.